GUUGCUUCUUGCGGGCCAUUAGGCCUUCGGGUCCCAGCCACGCCUGGCCUCCUUCGUGUGUCACCUAAAAGGCUGCAGGGCCUGGCGGUUGCUUUUCCUGCUUGUGGUCACUCACACCCAGGGGUGUCUGUCUGGAGAAGUCAUGGAAGGGCUGAGAUGACUACUUAACCGGAGGCAGGGGGCACAGAUUUUAAAAAUGGAGACUCGUUCACUAUGCGACCAUAUGUAACCCCGAAUUCCAGCUCCAAACCGGAAGUUCAGAUACUCCUUAAGUUCAGCUACUAGGAGCUCGGGGGAAGGGAUGCCUCACCCCAGCAGCAGAGACAGGAAGCAGGAGUUGGGGCAUCCCUCUGGCCCCUGCAGACUUGCCAUGGGGUGCUCUCCCCAGCUGCAAGGCAGCACUUCCAGGGGCUGGGGGAUAAGGCCUCCUGGGACAGAGGAAGCCCAGCCCUUCCCUGGCAUUCAGAGAGCCAUAGAGGGAGCAUGACUCUGGAAACCCAGGGGCCAGACUGGCACUGAAGGGACAGCUCACAUGGCCCAAGAGAUCCCCAGGCUCCUCCCCAGGGUGCCAGCCCAGGGAAGAUCAUGCCUUCCGGCUGACCAGUGUCUAUGCAGUCCAAGAGGUGACACCAGCCAUCACCACCCUGUCCAUGGCUUCCCAGCUCUUCCCUGGAAUGAGCCUGACCUGGGAGACGCAUCCUGCUUUCUUCAGGGUCCUCGGAGUUGUGGCCAUGAUGAGCCACGUGGGGCUGUCCCCCCAGACAGCCUGCUGCGGGCUGGGGUCUCUCUUCUCCAAACAGGACGGAACCUCUGCUCUGCCCCACAGCUUCUCUGUGCAGCUGUCCUACUAUGGGCUGGUCCUGGACCUGCAGAGCCUGGGCAGGGACAUCUUCCUCCUGCAGGCCCUCUUUGGGGCCAUGGACUUCCUGGGCCGGGCCACCACUGUCCUGUUGUUCAGGCUCCUCGGUCGCCGCAUGACCCAGGCUAGCUCCCUGGCCCUGGCUGGCUUCUGCAUCCUGGCCAAUGGGCUGGUGCCUCAAGAUCUGCAGAGCCUGCGCGUGGCCCUCGCCGUGCUGGGGAAAGGAUGUUUUGGCAUCAGCCUGACCUGCCUGACCAUAUACAGGGUGGAGCUCUUCCCCACGCCUCUGCGGAUGACUGCCGAAGGCUUCCUGCAGUCGGUCGGCCGCCUGGGGGCGAUGGUGGGCCCCCUGAUCCGGAUGGCCCGCCAGGCCCUGCCUUUGCUGCCUCCACUGACCUACAGUAUCAUCCCUGUGGCCUCCAGUCUGCUUCUCCUGCUUUUCCUCCCGGACACCCAGGGACUUCCACUGCCGGACACCAUCUGGGACCUGCAGGGCAGGACCUGACUGCACAGAGGGAGAAACCUCCGGCUCCAACAGGGCCGCACCCACCACGGGCAGGUCCACCUGGUCCUGCUGUGUCCUCGGAGUCCUGCCCGGGCCUGCCUCGAGCUACCUUCAAUAAUAGCUGAGGCGUGAAUGAGUGAAUGGAGACGAGGCCAAAGAAAGCGCUUUGUUCAGUUGCACCCCGGUCCCCUUUGCCUCCACACAUAUGAGGGGCAUGAGCAGGUGUGUUCUCAUGUAUCUGUGCCUGCUUAGGUAUCUGCAUGUGUGUAUAUGCCCACAUGUGCACACACAUGAAAGCUUGUGUUUCUGCAUUGCACACACAUGUGCCACUCGUGGGCUUGCGUGUGUACACAUGUGUGGCGUUCCUACAUGUGUGCCCAAGUCUCUGUGUGUGCAGAUAAGGUCUGGGGGUGGCAAUAUCACUUCAGGGCUCACAGCCUUCCAGGAUGGAGAAACAGGAAGAUUCACAAGACCCUAGCUGAGGGGGAGCCCAGCAGGGACGGGGACCCAUCAGCAGCAUGGCAGCUGCCCUUCUGUCCCCAACAGCCCUGCUCAAGCGGCAUGGGUGACGAGCGAGCUGAUCGUAUGCAGCUUUCAGAGGCCCAGAUCUUCCAAAGUCUGCGACACAGGUGUUCUUGCUGGAAAAAUAAGAGACCUCUGUUAAAACCACUGAGCACAAAUUACUACAUGGGGACCUGAGUCACAUGUCCACCUGCCUCCCCGGCCCACAGGGAGGCCCAGCCUGCCAGGGCUUCCUGACCCUGGGCUGACCCAGCUCCCCCAAGCCCUUCCCAGAUUCUGGCCCCAGGGCCUCCCCCGUGCUUCCCACAGGUCUCCUUGUCAAAGCCAUUCAUAACAACAGUGACAACAGUAAUAAUAACAAGCAUGGUGUGUUCACCCUGCAGCCAGGAAAUGGUCUACAUUAUUUACAUAAAUCUGUUGAGUCCUCAGAAGAGCCUCAUUGGCCACCCCUCCACCCAGGAGAAAACUAAAAUACUGAGCCGUUAAACAAUUUUCCAAAGGCCACACAACUAGGGCAGAGAGGUAUCAAAGCCAGGCAGCCUGGAGCCAGAGUCUGUGGAUAACCACUGCGCUGCACUGCCUCUCACUUAGGGAGGGUUCACAGGGCUCGUUAAAGCCACGGGCAGCACUGGCUACUGUGAUCUCAGUCUGUGCGACUCUGCCUUCCACAAAGGUGGAGAAGAAAGCUCCUGCUCACACACUGUGUUCGAGAGCUGCCAGCCAAAUCACACCACUGCUCCAGCGAGAGGAGAGGGAUUGCGCCCGUCACACCCCCACUGACCCCCAGCUUCACUUGUUCUCUUAAAAUCACUCCUCUGAACAACAGGCUGCUGUUCACACGACAGAAAAGAUAAUUCCUGCUGCAAGAGCAGGCGAGCCCAAGUGACCCUGACAACAGCCACCAUCGCCACCACCACCAUCACCAUCCACCACGUGGCUUUCCAGGACCAUGCCAGACCCCACAGGAAAGGCCCAGCUCCUGGGAGCCACUGCUGGACUCCAAGCAGAGGGCCCCUGCAACCCAGAUUGCAGGGACUGUCACACAGGGUGGGGGUGGCAUUUGCGCCUGCCUUGCUCCCAGGAACCUGCCGAACACAAGUCAGUGCGAAGUUCAACCUGUUGGAACAGCUCCCGCCUUGACAGCCCAGCUGUGGCGGCUGGUUAACACCUCGCCGUUGAAUUUUAACAUGGAAUAUCAUUUUGACACGGCAAGGAAACCAAAGUCCCUUUGGAGCAGGAAGGCCAGACUCACAGCAGCCGCUGGGCACAGGGAAGAGGAGGAGCAGAGCCAGCUGCCCCGCACUCUCCUUGACCUACUUAGAGCAGAUUUGCUCACUGGGCCAGAGGAGCACUGGCCAGCAGGGAGAAGGCGCUGCUGGCCCCCGGCAGCUCACACAAGAGGGUGGAUUAAAGCCACACGCACCCCCAAGUCUCAGCCACCCUCCCAGAGGGCACGAAGCAAGCUACGGCCACCCCAUGCUGCCCUCCCCAGCAAGCAACUUCCGGUGGGCAGGGGGAGGGGGACACAAGAGUGGCCGCCUUCGACCGCCAGGGAAAAUGCCCUGGAAGUCAGCCUGGGGCAGAGGCUCCAGUGUGGGAAAACUGUCAUUGGAGCGCUGGGCUCUGUGAAGCUGG
Molecule: long non-coding RNA, 3521 nt
Organism: Cavia porcellus (domestic guinea pig)
Lineage: Eukaryota; Metazoa; Chordata; Mammalia; Rodentia; Caviidae
Source: Ensembl